RNAcentral lists this non-coding RNA (142 nucleotides) under Streptomyces sp. The record is from RNAcentral. Lineage: Bacteria; Bacillati; Actinomycetota; Actinomycetes; Kitasatosporales; Streptomycetaceae.
AACAUGUAUGCUCAUGCUCGCUGUCGCCGCAGGGGAAUCCGGUGCGAAUCCGGAACUGUCCCGCAACGGUGUACUCAUGCGCGUAUGCCCGCAUACACGCAUGAGCGUCAGUCCGAGGACCUGCCGACAGUGCGCCCGGCCG